RNAcentral lists this RNase P RNA (398 nucleotides) under Candidatus Yanofskybacteria bacterium RIFCSPLOWO2_02_FULL_45_10. RNAcentral's name for it is "RNase P RNA component class A". It matches the Rfam family "Bacterial RNase P class A". Rfam says of the family: Ribonuclease P (RNase P) is a ubiquitous endoribonuclease, found in archaea, bacteria and eukarya as well as chloroplasts and mitochondria. Its best characterised activity is the generation of mature 5'-ends of tRNAs by cleaving the 5'-leader elements of precursor-tRNAs. The record is from RNAcentral. Lineage: Bacteria; Candidatus Yanofskyibacteriota. RNAcentral also lists the same sequence under 1 other name.
UUGGUAAAUCGGGUGAUUGCUGUGGAGUGGUCCCGCCUACGCCCCCUGGGCUUCGGCGAGGCGCUUCGCGGAGGAAAGUCCGAACACCACUUAAUAGCAGCUCGAGAACUAUUAAGAACGGUAGCGGGUAACUCCCGUCGCGUGUAAACGUAGAGAUGCGAACAGAGACGAGUCCCUUGCUUGCUUGCAAGUGAGGGGGUGAAACGGCUAAAUUCUUACUGGGGUGCAAGUACAGCGUUCCGUGGUUGGUAGUCGCCGCAAGGCGUCCGCUAGCUGGCGGUUCGAAAAGUUAGUACGCUUGAGGUUAACAGUGAUGUUAAUCCCAGAUAAAUAAUCAUCUCCCCCUAUUUUUUUAAAAAGCGGGGGAACAGAAUUCGGCUUACAGAUUUACCAGGAGA